RNAcentral lists this long non-coding RNA (991 nucleotides) under Nicotiana tabacum (common tobacco). RNAcentral's name for it is "long non-coding RNA (NTAB_LNC004147)". The record is from RNAcentral. Lineage: Eukaryota; Viridiplantae; Streptophyta; Magnoliopsida; Solanales; Solanaceae.
AAUUCAUCAAAACAAGUUGAUCUACAAGAAUCCACAAGUGGGUCCACAAGGAACCCAAUCUAGAACUAUCAUGAAGCAUUGCGUAGCUGCAAAGCGUCCAGCAGUACAUAAUAAUGAUUGCAUGAUCACUUCAUUCUUGGAGAAGUCCUCCAUUUAAAGAGAUACUGACGAAGGGUAGUCCAACCUAAGGUAAAAGCAAUGGACAAAGCAUCAAACCCGUCCCACAGAGAAAAACAUUAGGGGAAAAGUGCGAGAAACUGCAGAGAUGAAUUAUUUUGCUGUCCAUCGAGAACAACCCUACCUCUGUCUGAGAUUCUGCACCAUGUAGUCUUCAACAAGGGAAACUUACCCUGACCAAGAAUUUUGUAAGUCCUAACUGCGUGUUACUUGGAAGCCUCAUUGUCUGAAAGGAAAGUGUUAUCAGUUGUGUAACAAUGUCCAACUGGUCCAUACUCUCCGGCUCAUCUUUUGCCUUUUCUUUAUCUUAUUCUUUUUUUUCCUUACUUUUUACUUGUUUCUUCCUUUUCAACCUGAAGUUUAUCUUUGCUAACCAAGACCUCAUCAGUGGACAUGCCUAAUAUUUUAGGAUGACUACAAGUUUUGAAAUACAUAUAAAAAGCAUCUUGUGCCUUAAUAUCUAUCUUUUCGUGGUCCAACUUCCGGUGCUCGUGUAAUAAAUAAAAUUGUAUGCAGUCAAUACCAUCUGUUAAGGAGAGUUACAACCACAUAUGAAUGAUCUCCUUCAGAAACCUAAGAUUAAAUCGGUUGGAUGACAAAGCAUAGCAGAAGGAAUUAACAUGCCAAGUCUUGGAAAGCACUCCAAACUCCCAAUCCAAAUGCUGCCUAUUAAAGGAAGGCAAUAACUGCUAGUACCAGUAGCCUCUAUGGUUACCAGGUUACCAGCAAGUUGAACAAAAAAUAGGAAAAAGGACACAGAGUGAUGAACAAACUGAACAGAAGAUUGACAUGGAUGUCCAAAGGAAAGGGCACU